AGCGAACGCUGGCGGCAGGCUUAACACAUGCAAGUCGAGCGCGCCGCAAGGGGAGCGGCAGACGGGUGAGUAACACGUGGGAACGUGCCUUUUGGUUCGGAACAACCCAGGGAAACUUGGGCUAAUACCGGAUAAGCCCUUACGGGGAAAGAUUUAUCGCCAAAAGAUCGGCCCGCGUCUGAUUAGCUAGUUGGUGGGGUAAUGGCCCACCAAGGCUACGAUCAGUAGCUGGUCUGAGAGGAUGAUCAGCCACAUUGGGACUGAGACACGGCCCAAACUCCUACGGGAGGCAGCAGUGGGGAAUAUUGGACAAUGGGGGCAACCCUGAUCCAGCCAUGCCGCGUGAGUGAUGAAGGCCUUAGGGUUGUAAAGCUCUUUUAGCAGGGAAGAUAAUGACGGUACCUGCAGAGAAAGCUCCGGCUAACUUCGUGCCAGCCGCCGCCGUAA
Molecule: ribosomal RNA, 447 nt
Filed under: uncultured bacterium
Lineage: Bacteria
Description: partial 16S ribosomal RNA
Rfam family: Bacterial small subunit ribosomal RNA
Source: RNAcentral